This 169-nucleotide ribosomal RNA is filed under the name uncultured Hyphomicrobium sp. RNAcentral describes it as "partial 16S ribosomal RNA". It matches the Rfam family "Bacterial small subunit ribosomal RNA", at positions 338 to 524 of the family's 1533-position model. Lineage: Bacteria; Pseudomonadati; Pseudomonadota; Alphaproteobacteria; Hyphomicrobiales; Hyphomicrobiaceae. The record is from RNAcentral.
CCUACGGGAGGCAGCAGUGGGGAAUCUUGGACAAUGGGCGAAAGCCUGAUCCAGCCAUGCCGCGUGAGUGACGAAGGCCUUAGGGUUGUAAAGCUCUUUUGCCGGGGACGAUAAUGACGGUACCCGGAGAAUAAGUCCCGGCUAACUUCGUGCCAGCAGCCGCGGUAAU